Molecule: ribosomal RNA, 250 nt
Filed under: uncultured bacterium
Lineage: Bacteria
Description: partial 16S ribosomal RNA
Rfam family: Bacterial small subunit ribosomal RNA
Source: RNAcentral
GACAGAGGGUGCAAACGUUGCUCGGAAUUACUGGGCGUAAAGCGCGUGUAGGCGGCUUACUAAGUCGGGUGUGAAAUCCCUCGGCUUAACCGAGGAAGUGCACUCGAUACUGGUAAGCUUGAGUACCGGAGAGGGUCGUGGAAUUCCUGGUGUAGAGGUGAAAUUCGUAGAUAUCAGGAGGAACACCGGCGGCGAAGGCGGCGACCUGGACGAGUACUGACGCUCAGACGCGAAAGCGUGGGUAGCAAAC